RNAcentral lists this long non-coding RNA (3614 nucleotides) under Canis lupus familiaris (dog). Its description in RNAcentral is "lncRNA (ENSCAFG00845024452.1)". The record is from RNAcentral. Lineage: Eukaryota; Metazoa; Chordata; Mammalia; Carnivora; Canidae.
AAAAACUUUCACUUUAUUUCUAAUCACAUUCAAUCAAAAUUGUAAAUAUCAAACAAGCAGUACAAAAUAAUUCUAUGAAAAUUUUGACCAUAUUUUCCGCUACAGCCAAUUAGAUUCAGUUCUGAGGAAAUUAUCAAGAUUAUACAAGAAUAAAGAGCUUUGGUCAUCAACAAAUAUUUCAUGAUUGCCAGACUUAUACUAGGCUCAGUAGGUAUCUUCUCUAUCCACUAAAGAGCUUAUAGUCUUUUCUCUAACAUUUGGUUAGCAGUUACUAUUAAAAGUAAUUCCAGAUAAAAUACUAAGUUUUAGUGUUUUUCCCUAAGAUAAUAAAAAAAUUAUUUGUUAUAAAUCGUGGUCAGUUAACAGCUAAUAUACUUGGGCAUAGCUUUUCUCCCUAUAGCAUUAAUCAGUAGUUACUAACAUAGCAAGUAUUACUGGAACACUCUCUAAAAACUAUUAUUCCCCUGUAGGGUCCAAUGAGGAAAAUCCAGAAAUGUUGCACUCGGCCAUUCAAUAAAGUUCUAUUAAUAGUUGAGCUUUGGCUAACUUUGUAUUGUAACACUAAAAGGAAAAAGAAGAAUCCCUCAUAUAUACAUCAGCAUGAUUUUUUAUGGAUUCAGUUACAUGUCACGUUUAGAUUUCAUCUUUUAAAGUUUAUAUUUUCUGGUUUCUGCCAUGAACAUGUGUUCAUUUCGUAAAGAAAAAAGUGAUUAUUUUAAUAAUAAAUCCUUCCUUGCAAUUAUCACCUAAUUAGUCAUUGUGUCACAUUCAAGUACAUAGACAAUACCAGUAUUAUUUUUACUAAAAACACUUUUUUUUAAAAGAUUUUAUUUAUCCAUGAGAGACACAGAGAGAGAGGCAGAGACACAGGGAGAGGGAGGAGAAGCAGGCUCCCUGCAGGGAGCCUGAUAUGGGACUCGAUCCUGGGACUCUGGGAUCACUCCCUGAAGGCAGAUGCUCAACCACUGAGCCACCCAGGCAUUCCUAAAAACAUUUUUUUUUAACAAAACUCUAAUAUCCACAAAAUAUGAAGCAAUCUGUACUGAUCUACUAAAUAACUACUAUCUGUGGUUGAAAUUAACUGUUAGUCUCUCCCCUCCUGAACUGCUGGGAGUGUGGUGAUAUUCAGAAAAGUCACCUUGUGACUUGUGACAGUAUGGUCCUUCGUGACUUCCUACUGGGUACUAGGGCUGACGCCCCUCCCAACCCAAAGCCCCUCUCUCAACAGUACAGCUGCUAUAGAAAGCCUCUGUUCUUGUCCUUGAAUAUAUUUUUUUAAAUGUUUGGAAUCAGGGUUGCAUAAAUCAAUUCAACAUAAUAGGCAUUACUUUUUUCAUAAAUUUAUAUCAUGAUAUAUAAAUAGCAUGAAUGCUAUUUUGCUAUAGUUACUUUUAUUUAUUUAUUUUUUAAAGAUUUUAUUUAUUUAUUCACGAGAGACACAGAGAGAGAGAGAGGCAGAGACACAGGUAGAGGGAGGGAGAAGCAGGCUCCAUGCAGGGAGCCUGAUGUGGGACUCCUUCCCGGGUCUCCAGGAUCACACCCUGGGCUGAAGGCAGUGCUAAACCGCUGAGCCACCCGGGCUGCCCAUACUUUUAUUAGGAAACAUUUGAGAACUGUCUAUGUUCUACAAGAAAAAAAUGAGGCAGAUUUCAAACCAAAGUUAGUAUCCAUAUGUUUGUCAAUUAUAAAUUGUCAAUUUUAAAAAAUUGGUAUCCCUAACUGGUUUCUCAGAACUCCUUUUCUGCAAACUGGUGAGGCUUGCUGUCCCUAGUAGUGGGUAGGAGUAGUAUGUUUAUUCAUGUCUAUAUAGCAUACUAUUAAACUGAAUGGGCGCCCUUCUUCCACCUUCAAAUGUUAUUAAAGCCUGACUUUAAUGUCUGGAGACUUCUUUCAUUAGCCACAGAAAUAAUGAUAUAGGGUGAGCUUGCAAUAUCUCAUAUACUGCCCAGUAAAUCUGCUGAGUGGUAUUACUGAAAUAAAGCUAAUGGCCUCCAAUUUGAUUCUACACGGAUUAGUAAUGCCAGGGAGGAGUUCCCUAGUUUUUGUUGAUAGUAACAACUGAAAAGAGAAACUCCAUCCCUGUGAGUUGCUCUCUAGGAUUACACUAUUGUGUUUCUGUAAUUAAAACCUUGCAAGUAUAACCCAAUGCUCAUUAACUUUAUAAACUCUGAGGAAGAAAGGAGCUGACAAAGUUUUAGUUUUAGAUUAAAUGUUAUCUUGUGAGCAAAUGCUUUCAACUUUUCAGAUUGCAGCCGUGCCCUGCUAUUUAGUGUGGGGAGAGAAAAAGAAAAGCAUAUCAUUCCUCCCUUUACCUUACAAAUGUGGGUUAGCUAAUGAAUGGCUUUAUGAUGUUCACAUUUCGGGCAUUUGUGAAACAAUUCACAAGUGGUCACCAAAUCAUCAUUAUAAAAAUGAGAUGUUUGUAACUUAGGUGCUCUAACAAGCUUUUGUAGUUUCCUAAAGAGCACAGAUGUAAAUCCUAUCAAGGUUAUUCAACCAUAAGUAUAUAAUACUCUUGGAUUAGUUAAACAUGGAAAAAACAUUUUCCUUUUAAAGCCAUUUUUAUUUUUAAUUCAAGGCCAAAUGUAGAACAAAGCAUUUGUUAAAAGGGACAUGGGUGUUUUGACUGUUCCAAGUUGUUAGGAGCUUUUAGUCCAAAGUCGAAAUGGAAAAGGCACUAAAGUCACAGGUUGACCGCAUAUUCUUACCCUGUGGGUUCCCCAGGGGACUGGGUACACAGCACUUCUGGCCAAGAAUUCUGACAUCAGACUGGGAAUUUCCUAGCUUUGCAACUGGCACCCUCUGUUGGUAAACAUUCCAUACCGGGAUUGCUAGCAGGCAAACCAUUUGUUCUCCAUUUCCCCUUCCACUUAUUUGUAGAAAAUGCUGAAAUUAUCUUAGUAGACCACAAAAGGGGCUACAAUCCUAUAUAGCACCCCAGGAUGAGAGAAUCCAGUCCUGAUGAUAGUUUCUCUAUGAAUUCCUUACAAACGGCUCAAUCCUUUUGUCCAACUUCUAUGGGGUUUUUUGUAUAUUUUUACUAUUGGAGUUUGAUUUGCCAACAUAUAGUAUAACAUCCAGUGCUCAUCCCGUCAAGUUGCCACCUCAGUGCCCGUCACCCAGUCACUUCUAUGUUUUGAAUCUGGAGCAAAACUGAUAAUCUCUUCUCAGAGUCUGAGCACUUUGAAGCAGAAACCACUUGGCUACGCUGUCCAUCAGUCUUAGGCAAAAGAGAAAAAGUCGAACAUAGGGAAGGAUAGAUUGUGGUUUUUAUAUGCACUUUUUACAACACAGGGCUAUGUAAAUUCUCAUUUGUGUUUUAAAAUGUGGAUAUGUAAAUAUACACUUACGUUGUAGCAUAUGCAUAUAGCAUAGCAUAUAUACUACCUUCUUGUGGAAACAUAUGCAAGAAACCUAAUUAUCCUUUCAUAGAAAGUCUAAAAGAUAUGGGAGGGAGAACUUUACUGCCCGUUUUAUACCUUUCUGUAUUAUUUGAGUUUUACUACAGGCGCUUAUUACUUUAAUUUUAUUUUAAAAAAUAAAUCCUUAUUUAGAUGAAAUAUUUCAAUUCUAGGAUACUCAAAUAUUAUGGAACUUUUAAUUUAUAGGUUUUA